This 253-nucleotide ribosomal RNA is filed under the name uncultured bacterium. RNAcentral's name for it is "partial 16S ribosomal RNA". It matches the Rfam family "Bacterial small subunit ribosomal RNA", at positions 524 to 776 of the family's 1533-position model. The record is from RNAcentral.
UACGUAGGGUGCGAGCGUUAAUCGGAAUUACUGGGCGUAAAGCGUGCGUAGGCGGUUCGUUAAGUUCGUUGUGAAAGCCCCGGGCUCAACCUGGGAAUGGCAAUGGAAACUGGCGGGCUGGAGUAUGGCAGAGGGGGGUGGAAUUCCGCGUGUAGCAGUGAAAUGCGUAGAGGUGCGGAGGAACACCGAUGGCGAAGGCAGCCCCCUGGGCCAAUACUGACGCUCAGGCACGAAAGCGUGGGGAGCAAACAGG